Arachis ipaensis is the source of this 294-nucleotide non-coding RNA. The record is from RefSeq and is a predicted model, not a curated record. NCBI's taxonomy places the organism in Eukaryota, Viridiplantae, Streptophyta, Magnoliopsida, Fabales, Fabaceae.
GACUAUAAUCAUCCUAACUUUAUUCAUUAUGCAAGAGUAAAGCUCCAAACUUAUGGUAUUUUUUCUGCCAAGGUUGAAUCCAACGGUGAGUUAAAACUUGGUCGCUAUACCCAACUCCACAUGUUUGUUGUUGGAGACGAAGACAUUGAAGGGAAGAAUGUAGCUUAGUUGUUAUUGUGGUAGCCAUUUGGAAUGUGUUUCCUUGAACUUAUUAGAAUUUUACCGUUAAUGACCGCUAACAAUAACUUUUGACUUAAACUUUUAAACUUGUUUAAUUGAUUGCUUGAUGUGUUA